RNAcentral lists this ribosomal RNA (692 nucleotides) under uncultured prokaryote. RNAcentral's name for it is "bacterial SSU rRNA". It matches the Rfam family "Bacterial small subunit ribosomal RNA", at positions 28 to 712 of the family's 1533-position model. The record is from RNAcentral.
GAUGAACGCUAGCGACAGGCCUAACACAUGCAAGUCGAGGGGCAGCACAAGGUAGCAAUACUGAGGUGGCGACCGGCGCACGGGUGAGUAACGCGUAUGCAACCUGCCUGUAACAGGGGAAUAGCCUCUUGAAAGAGAGAUUAAUGCCGCAUAAUACGAGAUUCGGGCAUCCGGAUUUAGUUAAACAUUUAUGGGUUACAGAUGGGCAUGCGUUUCAUUAGGUAGUUGGUGAGGUAACGGCUCACCAAGCCGACGAUGAAUAGGGGUUCUGAGAGGAAGGUCCCCCACACUGGUACUGAGACACGGACCAGACUCCUACGGGAGGCAGCAGUGAGGAAUAUUGGUCAAUGGACGCAAGUCUGAACCAGCCAAGUCGCGUGAAGGAUGAAGGUAUUAUGUAUUGUAAACUUCUUUUGUCAGGGAAUAAUGGGUGUCACGUGUGACGCAGAGGAAUGUACCUGACGAAUAAGCAUCGGCUAACUCCGUGCCAGCAGCCGCGGUAAUACGGAGGAUGCGAGCGUUAUCCGGAUUUAUUGGGUUUAAAGGGUGCGUAGGCGGUUUGUUAAGUCAGUGGUGAAAGUUUGCGGCUCAACCGUAAAAUUGCCAUUGAAACUGGCGAACUUGAGUACACUAGAGGUAGGCGGAAUUCGUGGUGUAGCGGUGAAAUGCUUAGAUAUCACGAAGAACUCCNA